ACGGAAGGCAGCAGUGGGGAAUAUUGGGCAAUGGGCGCAAGCCUGACCCAGCAACGCCGCGUGAAGGAAGAAGGCUUUCGGGUUGUAAACUUCUUUUAUCAGGGACGAUAAUGACGGUACCUGAUGAAUAAGCUCCGGCUAACUACGUGCCAGCAGCCGCGGUAAUACGUAGGGAGCAAGCGUUAUCCGGAUUUACUGGGUGUAAAGGGCGUGUAGGCGGGACUGCAAGUCAGAUGUGAAAACUAUGGGCUCAACUCAUAGCCUGCAUUUGAAACUGUAGUUCUUGAGUGGUGGAGAGGCAAAUGGAAUUCCUAGUGUAGCGGUGAAAUGCGUAGAUAUUAGGAAGAACACCAGUGGCGAAGGCGAUUUGCUGGACACUAACUGACGCUGAGGCGCGAAAGCGUGGGGAGCAAACAGGAUUAGAUACCCUGGUA
RNAcentral lists this ribosomal RNA (434 nucleotides) under uncultured Oscillospiraceae bacterium. RNAcentral's name for it is "bacterial SSU rRNA". It matches the Rfam family "Bacterial small subunit ribosomal RNA", at positions 341 to 792 of the family's 1533-position model. Lineage: Bacteria; Bacillati; Bacillota; Clostridia; Eubacteriales; Oscillospiraceae. The record is from RNAcentral.